RNAcentral lists this ribosomal RNA (508 nucleotides) under uncultured bacterium. RNAcentral's name for it is "partial 16S ribosomal RNA". It matches the Rfam family "Bacterial small subunit ribosomal RNA", at positions 28 to 523 of the family's 1533-position model. The record is from RNAcentral.
GAUGAACGCUAGCUACAGGCUUAACACAUGCAAGUCGAGGGGAAACGAUAUUGGAAGCUUGCUUCCGAUAGGCGUCGACCGGCGCACGGGGGAGUAACGCGUAUCCAACCUGCCCAUCACUUGGGGAUAACCUUGCGAAAGUAAGACUAAUACCCAAUGACGUCUCUAGAAGACAUCUGAAAGAGAUUAAAUAUUUAACGGUGAUGGAUGGGGAUGCGUCUGAUUAGCUUGUUGGCGGGGUAACGGCCCACCAAGGCGACGAUCAGGAGGGGGUCUGAGAGGAAGGUCCCCCACAUUGGAACUGAGACACGGUCCAAACUCCUACGGGAGGCAGCAGUGAGGAAUAUUGGUCAAUGGGCGAGAGCCUGAACCAGCCAAGUAGCGUGCAGGAUGACGGCCCUAUGGGUUGUAAACUGCUUUUAUAAGGGAAUAAAGUGGGAGUCGUGACUCCUUUUGCAUGUACCUUAUGAAUAAGGACCGGCUAAUUCCGUGCCAGCAGCCGCCGUAA